GACGAACGCUGGCGGCGUGCUUAACACAUGCAAGUCGAGCGGUAAGGCCCUUUCGGGGGUACGACGAGCGGCGAACGGGUGAGUAACACGUGGGUGACCUGCCCUCAGCUCUGGGAUAAGCCUGGGAAACCGGGUCUAAUACCGGAUAUGACUCCAUGACGCAUGUUGUGGGGUGGAAAGCCUUGUGCGGCUGAGGAUGGGCCCGCGGCCUAUCAGCUUGUUGGUGGGGUGAUGGCCUACCAAGGCGACGACGGGUAGCCGGCCUGAGAGGGCGACCGGCCACACUGGGACUGAGACACGGCCCAGACUCCUACGGGAGGCAGCAGUGGGGAAC
This 334-nucleotide ribosomal RNA is filed under the name uncultured bacterium. RNAcentral describes it as "bacterial SSU rRNA". It matches the Rfam family "Bacterial small subunit ribosomal RNA", at positions 28 to 362 of the family's 1533-position model. The record is from RNAcentral.